This 331-nucleotide long non-coding RNA is filed under the name Bos taurus (domestic cattle). RNAcentral's name for it is "long non-coding RNA NONBTAT012186". The record is from RNAcentral. Lineage: Eukaryota; Metazoa; Chordata; Mammalia; Artiodactyla; Bovidae.
GCUUGUAAGUGGGCUCCACUGGGCGCUCAACCUGGCUGAAAUAGCACCAGCAGAGCCUCCCACAGCCUCAUCAGCAUGUUGACAUUCAGUGACUUUUCACACUUCAAAAUCUAAGUGACAAGCUUAUCUCAUCAAAACUACUGCCAUCCUCGAAACCAAAAGACCCUUGGCACAGGUGGCUAAGAAGGAAGAAAAUGUUUCAAAACCGCAGUGAACAUGAGAAAAAAUGGAAAUCAAAAUUAAAAGGAUGUUUGAACUUGAAUUCAUGAUUCUUUACAGGCUUUUCUGUCAUUCAUUCAUUCCUGCAUCAGGCUGCUAGGGAAUUGGGGGC